CCUACGGGAGGCAGCAGUGGGGAAUAUUGGACAAUGGGGGGAACCCUGAUCCAGCCAUGCCGCGUGUGUGAAGAAGGCCCUCGGGUUGUAAAGCACUUUCAGUGAGGAAGAACGCCUGGUGGUUAAUACCCAUCAGGAAAGACAUCACUCACAGAAGAAGCACCGGCUAACUCCGUGCCAGCAGCCGCGGUAAUACGGAGGGUGCGAGCGUUAAUCGGAAUUACUGGGCGUAAAGCGCGCGUAGGUGGCUUGAUAAGCCGGUUGUGAAAGCCCCGGGCUCAACCUGGGAACGGCAUCCGGAACUGUCAAGCUAGAGUGCAGGAGAGGAAGGUAGAAUUCCCGGUGUAGCGGUGAAAUGCGUAGAGAUCGGGAGGAAUACCAGUGGCGAAGGAGGCCUUCUGGACUGACACUGACACUGAGGUGCGAAAGCGUGGGUAGCAAACAGGAUUAGCUACCCGUGUAGUC
RNAcentral lists this ribosomal RNA (465 nucleotides) under Vreelandella stevensii. RNAcentral describes it as "partial 16S ribosomal RNA". It matches the Rfam family "Bacterial small subunit ribosomal RNA", at positions 338 to 795 of the family's 1533-position model. Lineage: Bacteria; Pseudomonadati; Pseudomonadota; Gammaproteobacteria; Oceanospirillales; Halomonadaceae. The record is from RNAcentral.